Portunus trituberculatus (swimming crab) is the source of this 469-nucleotide long non-coding RNA. RefSeq lists it as uncharacterized. The transcript has 3 exons. The record is from RefSeq and is a predicted model, not a curated record. Lineage: Eukaryota; Metazoa; Arthropoda; Malacostraca; Decapoda; Portunidae.
CAAACAUUUUACAAUAUUACUGAAUGUUUGACAUAAUAACGUAACUAAAUGCUGCCACAUUAUAUAUGAGUUGUGAACUAUAUACCAUGAAGUAAACAGAAAAUAACAAGGUGUCGCUCGUCACUUGUCAGGCAACACACGGCGCUGCCAGACGCCCAGGUGGAGUUGUGGGGUGAGGUGAAAAAUGCAUCCACUGACUCGAACCUGCAGCUUCCCUCCCCAUUGGCAGCCAGGAUGCGGAUGCUGGGCCUGAGUGUGUGGCUCUUCCUCAACCUGGUGUUCCUGGGCAUGGGCUCCUACCUUUACCUACUGUGGGUUCAGUACUGGCGGUACGCUCGAGCCUCCCAAAUGUCCCGCUCCCAGGACGCCUCUUGGGUCGAGGGGGAAGAUGACCCGGAGCCAAGGCCAGGCAAGCCAAGAUUCCACUCCAACCUCGUGCCGCCUAACCUCCCGCCUCUGUCUCGCCCAU